This 332-nucleotide ribosomal RNA is filed under the name Ixodes scapularis (black-legged tick). RNAcentral's name for it is "partial 16S ribosomal RNA". Lineage: Eukaryota; Metazoa; Arthropoda; Arachnida; Ixodida; Ixodidae. The record is from RNAcentral.
GAAAUAAGAUUUUAAAUGAGUGCUAAGAGAAUGAUUAAACAAUUAAAAGCUUUCUUUAAUUAAAAAAUUAAAUUUAAUUUUUUAGUGCAAAAGCAAAAAUAAAAUUUAGGGACAAGAAGACCCUAUGAAUUUUUAUUGUUAAUAAUUAAGAUUUAAGUUAUUAAUAAUUUAAUUGGGGCGAUAAAAAAAGAAUAAGUAUCUUUUUAGUUAUAAAAUAAGUUCCGUUUUUAGCGAUUAAAUGAAAUAAAUACUCUAGGGAUAACAGCGUAAUAAUUUUGGAUAGUUCAUAUAGAUAAAAUAGUUUGCGACCUCGAUGUUGGAUUAGGAUUCUU